GUCAGUUGUUACUGCUGUUUGUUGCUGUUGCUGUUGUAGAUGCUGCAUCAGCACACCCUAACCCAAACACGGUGCGCCUCCGCCGCUGCUAUUAAUGCCGCUGCCCAACCGCCUAGGUGGGCGCACCCGCGCAGACCACUUCACGUGCGCGUGCACUACAGACGCGAAUAACUGACAAAGCCAAUCGCGCCAGCACCACACCACCACUCACUGGGCCACGAUCCGGGAACUGCAAGCACCACUACCGCACAAGCGCGACACACAAUGCGCCACUCCAUACAGCCCCUAUCCACCGUCUUGUGGAUAGGACGGCCAGGAGUGCAACGCAACGCAGCACAGCACUGCACAGCACACGCAGCGCAGCGCAGCGCAGCACAGCGCAGCGGAGCACAGGGAUCAAGCCUUGCACCGUAGUGCCGCAGCCAGGGCACCAGCAACAGCCUUGCGAAAGAGGGAAGCCACUGCACCACACCGCACAGGCCACAGCCACACAGGCGGACAGGCGGGCAGGCAGGCAGGCAAUCCCCCGAGCCACUGCUCAUUACGCGCAGUGAUAGUUUAUAAGCCGACGCUCGGACAGACG
RNAcentral lists this ribosomal RNA (583 nucleotides) under Hydatigera taeniaeformis. RNAcentral's name for it is "bacterial LSU rRNA". The record is from RNAcentral. Lineage: Eukaryota; Metazoa; Platyhelminthes; Cestoda; Cyclophyllidea; Taeniidae.